GGGGGCUUCCUGGUGAUGGUGGACGCUCUUAAGAGUAGCUACUACAUGAUUGGGGAACAGAAGUUUUCCAGCCUUUCCCUGGACCGGGAGGCUGUUCGAGAUGCCGUGGAAGAGGCUGGGUACACCAUCGAGCAGUUCGAGGAAGCCAUCUAAGCAUCCCGUGCCUCAGUUUCCUCACUCGCAAAAUGAGACUGAAGUAGAACUGUUUGUAAAGAUGAUGGGAGUGAAUUCCAAGCUAGAAAGAAUCCAGAGGGAUGUCUGAUACUCACCAGGCAUGCGACAGAUCAAUGCUGACGGCUAGAUCACCAUUGUUGUCACAACCAUCCUAACCCCAUCUUUUGCUAUCAGUUGCCAAAGCAGCUGAGAAGAGACAUUUCCAUCUCCAUGUAGGAGAUGAGCCCUUCACUGGGCUCUCCACUGGGGUGCUUGUCAAGAGCAGCCAUGAGAAAACAGUUCCCACACCAUGUGCCACCAGGUCCUCUCUGAUUCAUUGCUGGUAGUAAACAUGUAUAAC
This 514-nucleotide long non-coding RNA is filed under the name Rattus norvegicus (Norway rat). RNAcentral describes it as "long non-coding RNA NONRATT028520". Lineage: Eukaryota; Metazoa; Chordata; Mammalia; Rodentia; Muridae. The record is from RNAcentral.